CAUUUGGUCAGUUGAGGAAUCUCGAAUCACUCGACCUCUCUGUAAAUCGACUCAUCGGGCCAAUACCAGUGGAGCUUGCAGGGCUCACAUUCCUUUCAUUCUUGAAUCUGUCCUACAAUAAGCUGGUUGGAGAGAUCCCAAAUGGGCGUCAGUUACAAACAUUUUCAGCUGAUUCCUUCAAAGGAAAUGCGGGGUUGUGUGGUUUCAAUCUCAACAUAAGCUGCAGUACUGAUAGUGAUGACAGUGAUCAUUUGUGGCCAGAAGAAGAUGAAAACGGGGAAGAGAAGAGUGAGAUCGAGUGGGAGUAUGUAUCUUCUGCGCUUGGUUAUGUUGUUGGAUUAGGAAGCAUUGCAUGGACGCUUUUUUUCCGCAGAAGCUUCAGAGAAAGAUAUUUCGAGAAAAUAGAAGAGAUUGUUGACAAGAUUUUCUACGAGAGAGCCAGGAGAAGAAGACAUGAAAGAAGAAGAAAAAGAGUAGAGAUGAGAAAAGAGAUUAGGAGACAGCAGAGAAGUUGAUGAUAUAAACAAGGGUGCUUAGUGUUUGAUGUAAGUUUGAAGCUUUUGUUUUUUUUUUUUUUGCAUGUAACUUUCUUUAAUUUAAGCUGUAAAAGAGAUUCUGUGUGUUGGUAAUUAACUAUGUCAUUUUAUUUUACGAGAAUUAGCACAUAUCAGAUUUGUCUUGUUUAAGAUAUUCUAGGAUUUCUCAUUUGUUAUUUUAUUGUUACUAGGCAUAGAAAGCCUGCAUUGCACGCGAUUUAAUUAAUUUACAUAAAUUAAUUAAUGUAAUUGAAUAAUUAUCAUACUAUGAGAAGUCAUACAAAUUUUGCAUUCGAAAUGUAUCACUUUAUAAUUGUAGAGUAAUAUUAAUGUUAAAAAAUUUAAGAUUUACCAAUAAUUAAAAAAUAAUACUCCCUCCGUCCACUAAUUGUUGGCCUAGGAGGCAAAACACGGAUUUUAAGAAAAAGUGUAGUGAGUGGAGAAAGGGACCCACAAAAUAUAUUGUUUAUUAGUUGAGUGGAGAAAGGGAGCCACAAAGUGUAUUGUUUAUUAGUUGAGUUGAUAAAAGUGUAUUGUUUAUUGGGACCCACCAAUUAAAAAUUAUAAAGACUUACUAUAAAUGGGUAGGAAAUUUUUUGGUGGACGGACCAAAAAGGAAAGUAGGCCAACAAUUAGUGGACGGAGGGAGUAAUAAUAAAAGCGUAAUCUUGCACUCAACUAAUAUUUCUCAAGAUAUCUAAACAAAUAAUUCUUUUACGUUCAAAAAGUGUUAAUUUGCGUGUUCAUACACUUGUGAAAUCAAGUGUAUGGAAAAUCAUAAUUUAUUUUUAGAAGAGUUAUAUUCCAUACUCGUGUCCAUAAUUUAUCUCCUCUUUUCUUCGACGAAGCUUCUCUAGCGUUUGGUUUAAUGGAUGAGAUAGAUAUGAUUGAUAAGAUUGAUAGGAUUUGAGAAGUGGUUAAAUAAUGCACCCAACUUUUGAGUGAUAAAUAAUCACUCAAUUGCAUGAUUAGAUGCGGGCCGUAUUAUCAAUCGCGAAUUCAAUCAUAAUCAAACACUUGAUUAAGGUGAAUUAUUUUAUCAGUAAUGUCUUAUCACUCAAACCAAACACCUAGCAUCUCUAUGUUAAAGGAAAACCAUAAAUUUAUUUUCUUGAUUUCUCUAUUUUUGAAUCCUACACUUGUAUAUUUUGUUAUUAGUUUCUCCAUAAAUUUAAUAUUCAAACGCGUAUGCUAAAAUUAAUAAUUAUACUAAAUCUCUAAUUAAUUUCGUUUGUUAAAUAAUUUUUUGUUUUGCUUUUUUUUUUACGUGUAAUUUUCAAAAUUACUAGAAUUAUAAAGUUGAUAGUGAUCUAUAGUUUCUAUCCCAACAUAGUUGAUAGUCAUUACAUUUUCCCAACUAAAGAAGUUAAGCCUAUCUUCCUGCAACCUAAAAAGAUUUCCUGAUUUUUUAAAACAAUCCAACUUGAUUUCUAUCACUCUUUUAGUUGGACAAAGUUUACAUCAGUUGAUUUCUCACGCAAUAAAUUGACAGUCGAAAUUAAGUCACAUAUAUUAAUUUUUGCCUUCUUAAACCAUUCGAGCUUCUAAAUACCCAUCAUCAUCAGAAGUUAUUAGACCAACAUCAAGUGAACUUUCGACUGUCAAUUAAGCUCUAAUUUUUUUGAAAAUCAAACUCAGGUGAAAAUUGCAAUAAAAAUAUAAAUUCGUAGAAGAUUUGGAGAGGUCAAGUCUUUUGAGGUUUGGGAAUAUAGAAUAGAUGGAGAAUGGUCUAAAUUGAUAAUGUUGACAAACCAUUGAAUUAACUUGAAUGGUUCAUUGAUGUAUGUUUCACGAGAAACUUCUCCGGGCUGCCGUCAACUACUAGUCUAUGACUGGGUUGGGCGAACAUUGAAAGAACUAGAUAUUUAUGAUUGUGAAGAUGUGUUGGGGAUUUCUACUAUUACUACUUCAUUCCCAACUCCCAACUUGCGGAAACCGAUGCCAAUUAAGCCCACGUUUGGUUGAGUGUUUUUAGAGGUUGAAAAGGGAAUCGAGUAAUUGAAUUCAUUACUUAUUGUUUGGUUUGGGUAAUGAAAUAAUCAUUACCCUUACUUGAGGGUAACCUAAUUAAUCACCCAAUUUGUUACCCCUCAAAAUAGAGGGGAAACAAAAGAAAAGGAAUCCCUUACUAAUGAUUCAUUUCCAUUGUUAAACCAAACACUCAAUAAAAGUAAUGAUUAUUGUUAUCAUUCCACUCCUUUAUUUGAUUCCAUUCCCUUUCCAUUCCUCUACUUGAACCAAGCGAGCACUAAGUAUGUAUGAAUCCUCUAGUCUUUUGCAGCAGAAUUAGAACACCACCAAAUGUGAUUGUUGCUGAAGGUGAUGAACAAGGGGCUCAGGCUGCAAAUGGUUCAAAAUAAUUGUAUGGCAUUCCUUUUCAAUUAUCCUUCUUAGCCUAUAAUUAAGUUUGUUGUUGUAAUUGGAAACUGUUGUGAACAGCGUCGAGAAAAUGGAUGAGAAGAAGGGGAGUAUGGAGAAAUUGGGGAUUUCUGUGGAGAACAAUAAAGAUGGAAUUUUUAUGUCUCUUUCGCUUGUUGACGAAGGCUGGGGAAUUUGACAAAAAGACAAAACGAAGAUAAUAAUAAUACUAAUUUAAGUAAAAUAUAGCGGAAAAAUAUAAUUAAUCUAGGUAGCCUAAAAAAUUCUUGAAAUUCAAACUACUCAAAAUCACCAAUUUUCCGAAAUAUCAACUACACAAUCUUACCAUUAUCACUAAAUCAAAUCAAUCGUCAUUUAGUUUCCAUAAUCCUCCCUCCUCGAACUCUAACUAUAUAUACCACAAAAUACAAUUCCCAUUAUCAUCACAUUUCAAAUCCCAAAAACAGAAAUUGAAAUAAAUAAAAACUUCCACUAAUUAAUCAAGGCAACCAAAACCCUCACAUCACUCCUCCUCGCUCUCUCACUACUCCAACUCUCCAAGGCAUCCUCGCCGUCCGAUUCACGGUCACCAACAACGCCUCCGCUACCCCCGGCGGGCGCGCGGCGCUUCGACCGGGAGAUCGGCACUGCCUACACACUCACCGCAAUGCCGCAAAUCGCCGGCUUCAUAUGGAAGAUAUUCCGGCAACCCUCCGACGCCGACAGACGUCACUACUUCCCCGACGACGUCGUAAACCUGUACGUCCAAGACCUCCACGACGGCGCCCUGGGCGAAACCGGCGAAAACAACAUCUACAUGAGCGCGGAAGGCAUCGAAAGCUACCCUCCCGGCGGCGGAGCUAGGUCUGUUCACCUCGAUUCUGUACCAUGAAAUGACGCACAUUUUUCAGUGGUCGGGGAAGGGCAAGGCGCCCGGGGAUUUGACGGAGGGGAUGGCCGACUACGUGGUGCUGAAGUCGCCAUUCUACAACGCCGGGUAGGGGAGGGGAGCCGGUGGGACGAAGGCUACGGAGUGACGUCGAGGUUUUUGGAGUACUGCGACGGGCUGAGGGAAGGGUUCACGGCGGAGCUGAAUAAGAUGAUGAGGGAAGUUUACAAAGAGGAGUAUUGGAAGGAGUUGUUAGGGAAAGAUGUUGAUCAGCUUUGGAGGGAGUAUAAGGCUAAGUAUACUAAUCUAUCUAUACAUCUAUCUAUACAUAUAUAAAAGCUGGUUCAUCUAGCAAAAAAAAAUUCCCGCUCUUUUACUCAAUCUAUUUUUGGAAAGUUGAUUUAUAUUUAGAAAGUUCACUAAUUCAUAGGAUGAUAUAUAUAAGUUGCGGGGCCCACUUGCUACAAUCUAUACAGUGCUCUUUUAUAUCAUGCAAUUUAUAGUUUUGUGAAAAAUAUCCUUUAUUUUUGUGAAUUUAUAUUUUUUUUAGAUAAAUUUAUAUAAAUAUACAAUAUUUAAAAUUUAAAGUGCCAAACUUAUUUUAGCCUUAUCCCUAACAUCCCUGACCCACAAAAGGUGAUGCUAGCAGCUAUGCACUUUGAUGGGAAGGCCUCACAGUGGCACCAAAAUUUAGGGGUGAAACAGAUUGAAUUGAGCUGGAACCAAUUCAUUGAACUGGUCUCUGCCAGGUUUGAGGAGUUGAAGGAAACCAAAAUAGUGGCUGAGUUCAACAAGUUGAGGAUGACUGGGAACUAUACUGACUAUGUUGAGAGGUUUGAAGAACUAAGGGCUUGUCUAUUGAUGUUUAAUAGAGGAGAAUUCUCAGAGGACUACUUCAUAGCAAGCUUUAUUAGUGGGCUGGGUGAUGAACUACAAUCUUUCAUAAGGAUGUUCAAUCCAGCUACUUUAAAUCAGGCUGUGGAAUUGGGAAAGAAUCAGUUGCAGACACUAGAGGUUAUCACUAAGAAGCUUAAGGGCACAUACAGAAAUUCAACCCCAGUUAACCAAUUUUCAAAGAGGCCAGAGAACAACAACUUGAAAUCUGGAAAUUUUACUCCAAAGUCGCCAUUCAAGUUACUCACUGCUGAAGAAAUGGAGGCUAGAAGAAGCAAAAAACUCUAGCUACAAUUGCGAUGAAACCUAUGUCCCAGGGCAUAGAUGCAAACAGAGAAUUUCCUACUUAAUCAUGACUGAAGAGGAGGAAGCUAAUUUGUCCCAUAUCACUCUUGAAGAGACUGAGGAAGAUAAGAAUGAAACAUUGGUGAUGGAGGAAAUUAUUUUAGCCAUCAGUGCUUUAUCUGGGAAUGAUGGACCUACAACCAUGAGAGUUUUGGGAGAAAUUAACGGUCAGACGAUUAACAUCCUCAUUGAUUCAGGUAGCACAUUAAGCUUCAUUAAUGAGGCUACUGUGAAGUCCCUAAAUUGCAACCAAGAACCUGUCAAUUCAAUAAAAUAAUAAUAAUAAUAAUAAUUUACUUACUUUGUCUAUCUCUUUUCAUUUACUUUAUCUUUAUCUUAUUUUUUUCACUACUCUAUCUAUCUCUCUCCUUAUCUAUCUUACGGACGGAGUAAUAAUAAAACGAAUAAAAUUAUGACAUAACAACUAAAUUCAUACAUUUUCACUACUCAGUCUAUCUCUCUCCUUAUUUAUCUUUCGGAGGGAGUAAUAAUAAAGCGAAUGACAUUAUUACAUAACAACCAAAUUCAUAAGUAAUGUCGUCGUUCCCCUUCAUGGCCUUCAAAUAAGUGCCGCCGCAAACCAUCACCUCCACCGCAGGUGAUCCCAUCCUCCUUGCUGGAUUCGGCUUCACCGGCAGCAUUGCGAGAAUCCGGUCGCCCGGAAAUUAAAAUUUGGGUAUAAUUAUUGUAUUUAUGGUGGAAAUUAAAAUAUUGUUGAUAACAUUAGCCAAAUCUAUAGUGGAAAUUAAAAUAUUGUGUGGGCCUAAGGAUGUGAAAGCCCAUUACCGUGAUAAGUGGGCUUCAGUGGUUGCAUAUGCUGGUCCAAAUUUGUGAUGAUUAAUGCACCCCCAGCCCCACAACACCAACACCAACCCCAAAUUCCACAAUUGUGAAUUUGUGAUAUUCAUAUUUUUAUAUUAAUGCAUCAACAAUAUUUAUAUCAUCAAAUCAAGAGAAAAAUAACCUUUGUUUAUAUUGAUGUCAGGUCGUCUUUAAACUUAAAAAAUAAACAUAUAUGGGAUUUAAAAUAAAUUAUAUGGGAUAUUCGUGGAUAAGAUCAAAAGGAUUAUGAUAUGAUUUAAAUUUGAAUGCCGUCAUGAUUAUGGAACACAAAAAUUUGGGUAGAAUCAGGUGUACUGUACAACCAAGUUGAGCCAUAUCUAUAAUAGUGUUAUUUAUGCUAUUCGAGUUAAGAUAUGGAUUCGAAUCAGGAUGCAAGUCAUGGUCUUAGUAAGGAUGCAACUCGAUUGUGUACCCACUUCAAACAUCCUUAAUUAAUUCCUUGUACUUUAAUCAUACUACACCUUUGUUACCAUCGUAUAAUUGCAAUUAACGGAGACUUGUAAAUCAAGCAGAAGUGCAUACAAUUAUAUAACUACUUUUCACAAUUGAAUUUCUAUUGUUGCUAUAAUAAAAGCAGAGUCAAGGGAUUUUUUAGGACAAUAACUUAGAUUGAUUUGGAAAUUAGGACAAUAACUUUCGGACUUGUAAACAUCCCCAUUUCACUUCCUUUAUUUUGAGGACGAUCAGCCUUCUUACAUGAAUCCCAACCCUUCACUUCCUCUGAUUCCUUCCAAGAAUCACUCUUCAAGCUAUAUAUCCAAUAUAUAGAUUCGCCGCUAGCUCUAGCCGCAAUCACAAAAACCUUGUAAUCGUCGCUCGAUUCAUCCCAACCGAACCCACAACAGUAGAAAUAAAAGCAUGACAUCGUCUUUGAGUGAGGCAGUUUCUUGGAGAUUCUGAGAGAUGGAUUCCACAACACAAACUGUGUUUGUUCAUUCAGUGAAAGGCAAACAAGCCCAUUGCAGCAACCAACAAUGCUAUUAAAACCGAUUGGGAAUUCCAAUUCUAAAGCAUCGUGAGUAUAUGAGAUAUCGAGUAUACCUUAAGUUUAGUAUUUUUCCAAUACAAUAUAACCGGUUCGGUAUCUAUCAUACUUUUUUCAUACCUAUCAUAUCUUACCAAAAAUUUUGGUAUACCUUAAGUUUAGUAAUUUUCCAGUACAAUAUAACCGGUUCGGUAUCUAUCAUACUUUAACCAAAAAGUUUGGUGUACCUUAGUUUAGUUUCAAUAUUUUUCCAGUAUGGUAUAACCGGUUCGAUAUUUUUCUAGCACGAUAUAGCCGGUAUAUUCUUUUACUUCUAGCAUCAUACGGCCUCUUCAAAAAUGCACCAAAAAUCUCUUUUUAUUGUAAUUCCUUUUACUCGACUCCGUCGAACUUUUCAAUUUUUGCAUCAAAUUAAACCUAAUUAUGUAUACUAAAUUCCAUUAAUUAAAACACAAAUAAUUUAAGAAUAUAAAUAAUUAAAAUACACACAUAUCAAAUAUCUUUACACUUGAAUCAUGCUACACCUUUGUAAAUCAAGCAAAAGUGCAUAUAAAUAUAAUUACUAUUUUUCACAAUCGAAUUUCUAUUGUUGCUAUUAUAAAAGCCAUGUAUACUAUGGCUGCACUGGGCUCCAGCCCAGUGCAAAGCCCAAAUUUUUUCUAUAUAUAUAUAAUAUAUAUAAUACCAAGCCCACCUCAUAGAUUACCCAUAGCCCAGCCCAACUAUCUAAAGAAAACAUAAAAACAUUCUAACCUAUGUCAAAGACUCAAAGAGUGACGCACACAGUAGAAAAAUUCAAAAAAUAGCGUCUCUCUCUCCUGAGCAAUUGCAAAGCAAUAAUUUCUCCUAUUGUGGCUGUGGAGAAUUGAACUUCCAAUUUAUUUACUUAUUCUCGUCUCAUAUUAUUCAAGGUAUGUAAAUUCAAGAACCCUAAAUUAGAAUUAAUAUUAAAAUUAAGUUUAUUUUUGUUGAAUUUUACUGAUGAAAUUGAAACUUGAAAUAGAGGUAGAAUAAUUUCUUAUCUUUUAUUUGAAACUCACCUGUAAAUUGCAAUUAAUAUUUUAAAUAUAUAUAAAUAAAUGUCAAAUAUAUGUAUCACCUACCCACCUUUCUUAUACAAACAAUCAAAUAUCAAAUAUAUGUAUAUAUAUACGUGCAUCAUCAAUUCGCAAAGAUUCGCAUACCUUUCUUAUACUAUAGAAUUAAAGCAUACUAACGCUUCAAAAGCCAACCUAAUUCGGAACUCUAGAGAGAGGAGAAUAGAGAGGGAAUUGCGAAUGCCAAUUCAAUCAAUUGCAAUAUAUGAUUCUCCUACCAUAAGUUAUAUAUAAAUAAAUAAAAAUUAAUAGAUCUAACCAAAUAUAAUAUUGAGCUAGUCUCUUGUGCGAGUUCACAGGUUGAAAUUUAUAACCUUUUUUUUUUUACCCUUACUUGUUCCGCACGUUGAUUAAAGUUAUUUUUAAUAUAUUAUAGAUAUCUUAAUCCCUCGUAAUCCUUUUUAUAUUAAGGCGUGAUGAUCCGCAAGUUUUGCACUAAUUAGAUUUUAAUUAGAAUCAUAUUAACAACUGAUCCUCAUCUCACUCUCUCUUCUCUCCCUCACCUCUCUAGAGUUGGCGGAUUCGCCUGAUUGGGUUGCCUUGAAGCGUUAUUAAGCUUUGAUUCUAUAGUAUAUAAGAAAGGUAUGUGAAUUUUUACAAACUACUUAUAUAUUUGAUAUUUGAUUUUAUCUAGGAGAAAGUAUUUUCGAGUUGGUCGAUGAUGUAUAAUUCUGUUGCUAAUUUGUUUUUGUAGAUGAAUGAGCUUGUUUUGAAAUGUUUCGAUGGUGGUGGCGAUAAUAAGUAUUAUUUAUCUAUUACGUCUCCUCAAGACAUGUCUCCCAAGGAAGGCUUUGAAAUUACCAAUCUUUUCUUUUAUGAUAAUGAAAAUUAUGUUAGUGGUAAUAUUUGUCGGAUGCUGUUGUAUUUCUAUUAUGAGGGCCAAACUGUUCUUUGCAACCUAGCAACUAAAGAGCUGAAAUUUAUUGCUCCGCCGAAGAAACCCAUUCAAUAUGAUAUCCUUUUCCAGGGUUGUGGUCUCGGAUACGAUGCUAAAUCCGGCGACUACAAGUUGAUACAGAAGUAUCACCUAUGGUCUUGGUGCAAUGUUCAACAUCGUUGUGAUUAUGAUGAUUAUGACGAGACGAAAACUGAGUUGUAUUCGCUUAAAAGUUGUUCUUGGAAGGAGAUUCCGAGUCCUGAUGCUCGUAUUGGCGCCCAUUGUGGUGUGUACGUUGAGGGGAGUUGCUAUUGGCCAGCAAGUCUUGGUCCGGCCUUUGGUGGUCCAUCGGGUGAACUGGCAUUAGAUGUUCUAUCAUUCGACUUCACCAGUGAAUGUUUCUCUUGCAUCCCUUCGCCGACUCGAGAUGAUGGGUUUGCAUAUGAUCUUGUCGAGUGUCGUGGGUUUUUGGGUGCUAUUGCCUAUGAAUAUACCGAUGAACAAUCAAAGUGUGGAGCCAAGUCUUUUGAGCUUUUGGUAUGGAAAGAAAGGUCGUGGGCCAAAUCAUUUGUUGUUGCUCUUUACGGCAUUGAAAACCCGUUGGGAUUGAAGGAAGGUCGUUUUUUGUUUCUUAAAAGGAAAAUAUUCGGUAGUGAUAAGCCCUAUCAGUUAGUAGUUUAUGAUUGUAUCACGAAGGAGUUGAAGAAAUUUGAUACUGAUGCUCGUGCACAAAAUGUGAGUGUUGUCUCUUAUGUUGAUGAUAGAGUUGAGCUAGUUUAUGACUGGAUUUCGAUGAAGGUGUUUUCUUAUGCUGAGAAUUGUGCUCUGCUGCCGAAUGAUGCAAAAAUGUAAGUGGUUUAUGUUUCACCAAAUAUGAGUUUAUAUUAUCAUUAAUUUGUCCAAUAACUUGACUAACUAAUGUUUUAUCUAAACAAUGAACCACAGCUCACAAAAUGCUGAAGAAUUCGUCCUCGAAGGUUUUCAGAAGAUCGACAUCCAGCCAUGAAAGCUCGAAAGAAAACCCACAUUUACUGUGAUAAGGCUUUGGCUUUUUACCUAUAUCUUGUGUUAUGUUUCGUGUCGUUAUGCUUGGAAAUGAUACAUUGCAAGAAUUUCAAAGUUGAUUCCGAUUUGUUGAGGAAGUUUUCUCAUGAAUAAUAACUUAGGAUUUCUCCAAUCUCACCAUUUCAAACGUGAUAAAAAAACACGCAAAACUAGCUCAAAUGACGUGAUAAAAAACACGCAAAACUAGCUCAAAUGAUAGAAAUAAUAAGAGCCUAAAAUAUAUAAGGGAUUAGCAUUACUAAUUUUAUCUAGGGCAAAGUAUCAAAUAAGCCCCUGACAUAGUAGUCCUUAUCACGUUAGCGAGUAUCGAUCACUAUGAGUCUCGUUGCAUCAUUAUUAUUAUUAUUAUUAUAACUCUAAAAUAAUAUUUUCAAUUUAUUUAUUAAUAGUAUAUUUUUUUUAAUGUAGUUGUCCAUUAGAUUAGGCUUGUGGGCCAUUAUUAUUAUACCAAAACCUAGUUAACCUAAAACCGGAAUUUACCACGAUCCAAACAAAACUAAGGGGGGUGUAUUCGUUGUGGAUUUCCACAGACUUUAAAAAGUCCAUGGAAUUCACAUAGAUUCCAGACGACUUUCAAAGAAUUCGUGGUUGGAUUUCACCCCGAUUUUCACUGAUUUUCGAAGAAUUUAGGGGAUAAUUCUGGAAUUGAAAUCCAUGAUGCCAACGCCCGCUGAGUCAUAUGCUGGAAUCCAGCAUAUGCUGGAAUCCAACAUAUGCUGGAAUCCAACAUAUGCUGGACUCUCUCAACGGUGGCUGAGUUCCAGCGCUCGCUUAAAAUUUCAUGGAUUUCAAUUCUCGUGGUUCUUGGCCGGAUUUCGUCGUGUGUAUUUUUUGGAUGAAAUCCAUGAAAGUCAUUCCAGAUUUUAAGUCAAUGGAAUAACGAAUACACCUAGAUUUGUAUGGAUUUUAAAAAGUCUGAAACGAAUACACCCAGAUUUAUAUGGACUUUUAAAAGUCUUAAACGAAUACACCCAGAUUUCUGCAGACUUUUAAAAGUCUGGAACGAAUACACCUAGACUUUUAAAAUCCAUAGAAAUCUAUUAAAAUUCACAACGAAUACACCCCCCUAAAUUUCAUUAUUUACACACGCCAAAGAUUCCAUGGAUUCUGAAGGCGAGGGUUUCUACAGCAGCAGUAGUGAUACGGCGGCGGAUGACAGCUUCGCUGAUUACGCCGCCGUCAGCCGCCUCCAGAAACCCUACAAAAUCCUAAAAGAGGGCGACAUCCAGCAACUCCUCGACGACGAUAUCUCCACAGUUUCCGACGUUCUCUCCGUCUCGAGAGGCGCCGCCUGCACCCUUCUCUGCCAGAAUAAUUGGAAUCUCAGCUCCGUCUACGACAAAUUUUUCGCCGCCGACGACAGAAAUCACCAAACCGCCGCGUCGUCGUCGCAGCGAGAAUUAGGGCAAAAUCUGUGCAAGAUAUGUUACGACGAAAUCAGCCCCCAAAACACGGUCUCUGCCGCCUGCGGCCAUCCCUUCUGCGCCGAUUGCUGGAAAACGUAUGUCUCGGCGGCGAUCGACGACGGCGCCGGAUGCCUGACGCUGCGGUGUCCGGAGCCUGGCUGCGGCGUCGCCGCAGGCGUAGAUCUGAUAGAAUCGCUUGCCUCCACCGACGGCAAGGAGAAGUACCAUAGAUAUCUCCGCCAAUCCUACGUGGAGGCCAGCCGCCGGAGAAAGUGGUGCCCCGCCCCGGGAUGCAAUUUCGCCGUCGAAUUCGACGGAGGCGGAGGCGGCGGAGGCUACGACGUGACGUGCGGCUGCUCUCACAAAUUCUGCUGGAACUGCGGGGAAGAGCACCACCGCCCCGUCGGCUGCGAGACGGUGGCGAGCUGGUCGGAGAAGAACAAUUCGGAGGUGGAGAACACGCAGUGGAUCCUCGCCUACACCAAACCCUGCCCCAAAUGCCGCCGCUCCAUCGAGAAAAACCAAGGCUGCAAUUGGAUGACGUGUCGCCCCCCCUGCGGAUUCCGAUUCUGCUGUCUCUGCGGCCAGGACUCGAGGUUCCACACCCGCUGCAACAAAUACGGCGGCGCCGCCGCCGGCUAUGAAAAGAAUGCUAAGAGAGAGAAGGCGAGGAAGGAUCUGCAGAGAUACACGCAUUACUACGAGCGGUGGCACGCCAACGAGCAGUCGAGGAAGGCGGCCGUGAAGGAUCUGAAGACGUGGAGAGACGACGACGGCGUCUCUAAGCUCGGCGAGGCGCAAGCGGAGGCGCCGGCGCAGCUGCAGUUCGUGACAAAGGCGUGGGAGCAGAUUGCGGAGUGCCGGCGCGUGCUGAAAUGGAGCUACGCCUAUGGUUACUACAUGGAGAGGGAGGCGCCGAAGAAGGUGGCGUUGUUCGAGCAUUCGCAGGGGGAGGCGGAGAAGCAGCUGGAGCGGCUGCACCACUGCGUGGAGAAGGAGAUGGGGGAGUACCUCCGGCAACAGAGGGAGGAUUUCCAGGAAUUUAGGGUUAGGGUUGUUGAUCUGACUGUGGUGACCGGGAAUUAUUUUGAGAAUUUGGCGAGGGAUUUGGAGAAUAAUCGAGCGGAAGUUGUGGGUGGCGGCGGCGGCCGGAAUGGUUUGAAGAAGAAGAAGAAGAAGGAUGACGAUGAGAGGAAGGGUUUGGAGAAGAAGAGAAGGAAGAAGAAGGAUGAUGAUGAGAGGAAUGUUCCUAGGAAAAGAGUAACUUAUGCUUCUAGGUAUUCUCGUAAUUAAGUAUUGAUGAUGAACGUGCACGUUUGUUUUGGAUGAUUAUUAUUGUGAGGAGUGUAUAGUUUUUUUUUUUUUGGUUUUAGGAUUAUUGAGAUUGUUUCAAUAGUAAGCUUAUGAUUAGAAAAUCAUAGACUAUUCAUUAAUUUAUGCAUGUUGAAUUAUGAAAUUUUUGGUAGUACAAUAUUCUUGUUAUUGGUUUUGGUGAAAUAUGGAAAACAUUGAAGAUCUAUGAAGAUGUAGUUGAGCAAUGAAUAUUGCCUAUGUAUUCAAGAGCUUUAUUUUGUACUCCCUCUGUCCCAAUAAUAUAGUGGCAGAUCUAUAAGGGGCGAUUGGGGUACAACUGUACCCGAAAAAAAGAAAAAAAUUUACUAGUAGUGUUAAGCCCUAUCAGUUAGUNACAAAAUGCUGAAGAAUUCGUCCUCGAAGGUUUUCAGAAGAUCGACAUCCAGCCAUGAAAGCUCGAAAGAAACCCACAUUUACUGUGAUAAGGCUUUGGCUUUUUACCUAUAUCUUGUGUUAUGUUUCGUGUCGUUAUGCUUGGAAAUGAUACAUUGCAAGAAUUUCAAAGUUGAUUCCGAUUUGUUGAGGAAGAUUUCUCAUGAAUAAUACACAAAUUUUGAUGAAAAGAAUUUGGUUGAGGAAUUUGGUCGAACACCUUGUUAGCAUAGAAUAAAACUCUAAUACUCUCAAGCUGGCAAGAAUAAAACUUGCUGAUAUAAAAAGAUAAACAAAAGUUUAGCCAUUUUCCAAUACAUAUAUAAAUACAAUCUAUUUAUUCUCAUUGAAUCGCUACUUCAACAUACUCAAAAAACAAUCAAAACCAAGUAGUAUAUUAUAUUUUUUUCCAAUUGAAUUUCUAUUGUUGCUAUUAUAAAAGCAUGCAUUAAUUCUUAUAAAUUUUGACACCUUACCUUAUGUGACUUUUCUUAUUGAAUAAAUAGUAAUUUUAAAAGUAAUUAAAAUUCGAAACAUGUAGGUGUAGCCUCAACGCAACCAUUAAUAAUAUUGAAAAAUAAGGCAGUUUAGAGUUUAAUGUGAAUGUGAUGGUUUUGCUUCUUUUUUUUUUUUGGUGUAAUUUUCAAAAUGACUAGAAUUAUAAAGUUGAUAGUGAUCUAUAGUUUCUAUCCCAACAGCUCUCUAUCUCUCUUGCAACAACUUGUCACUUGACGGUCAAUUAAGCUCUAAUUUUAUCGCAGUCAAACUCAUGUAAAAAUUACAACAAAAAUAUAAAUUUAUGUAUUUUUUGGUUUACUUAAAAGUUCAUGUGAAAAUUAUAACUUUUUUCCAAAGUUCAUGUAUUUUUUGGUCAUAACCUCUGGUUCUAUUCAAGUUUAAAUGAUCAUUCUAAAUUUAGAUUUAAAUUCAAAUACUAAUCAUUUGGGAAAAAAAAUACAUAUUCUAGAAAGUAUGAUUAUUUAUUUUGAUAAUACAUAUAAUCGCCUGGGUCAGGUUUCGUAAAUAUUUAGGCCCAGCUUGGCUCAGGAUAACAUGUAUAGUGGGCCUUGGCUGGGCCCAUGCUAGUAGAUUGCAAUGGGCAUUUCCGUGGGUUCAACUAGGCUGAGUUUGGUGGGCUUCUUGUUGAUUUUGUAUAGAUUUUUACUUGGUGGGCUUGGAUCUUGUGAGCUAAUGAAUACCGUUGAAUUAGUCUUUCAACAAGUCUACUAGCAUGGCCCACUUUGCAAUUUUUUUGUUUCCACACUUCCUUUUCUUCUCUACACAUGAAUACAUAGAUUAAUUUAUCGCAGGCUAAGUGUAUUAUUUUACUAAUAUUUUGAAAUUAGGAUAAAUCUGUAUUUUGUAAAUUCCACCAGUAGGCCUACAUGAUUGGGAUUGGAAGAAAAUGAUAUAACUGAUAUGUGUCUUUAACGUGGGCCACACAUCGUUGACUUGAGACUCUUCUAAGUCCUAACUAUGAAUUAUUUGGAAAAAGCAUAUAAUCUUGACGGCUCGACCAAUCAAUCCUUGGGCUUAAAUUCUAGCAUUAGAAUUUUGAAUUGGUCUCCACCUUAAGCGUGUUAAUGGGGUUAGUUGCUAAUAAGACAAAACCCGCUUUCACUAUUUGUAAUUUCCACAUACACGUAUACACGAUAGCGAUUUUUCCUUUUCUUUUCCUUUUAUUUUUGCUAUUCAGAUAUUGAUUAGUGAAAUUUUCUGGUUGAUAAGAAUUUUCCGAAACCAUUUUAUACUCAAUCCUAAAUUUAUUAUCUUUGGCUUUUUAAUGCCAGCCACUCAAUGCAAAACAACUAUAUGUUUUGCAAAAAAUCUUUCCAUUAAUUUCUCUCUCAUCAAAGGAUCAACAAAUGGCUACUUAUAAACUACAUGCAUGCAUGGUUUGUGGCAAGCUGCUUUUUAUUAGAGAUGAACUUUUUAGUUAAGUACAAAAUGAGACACCAAUUAUGAACUAAAUUAUUAAAAUAACUGGAUACAAAUAUUAAUAUUAUACACUAAUUGCUUUAGUCAUCCAAGUCAACCAUUUAGCCCAUGUUUGGUUGGGUGUUUUUAGAAUCUGGAAAGGGAUUCAAUUGAAUCCAUUACUUGUUGUGUGAUUUGAGUAAUGAGUUAAUCAUCACCCUUAAUUAAAGGUAACCCAAUCACCCAAUUUGUUGCCCCUCAAAAUAGGGGGGAAACAAAAGAAAUGGUGCAUCUUCAUCUUUCUGCCCCGACUUUGAUUGUUCAACCAAACAAGAUCACACUAAAACGUCCCACAUGAUUUGAGCAUUUACAUUGAUUGAAUUAAUGCUCGACUCAUCCAUGCUCCGAGACCAUUUAUGAGUCAAGUACUGCAUUGGCACGACUCCUCCUGCUGACUCAAAUAAAUAACACAAUUUUUUGAAAGAAAAAAACAUUAAAAUUAAUGGCUCAAAGACCGUUGCAAAGCUUUUCAAAAUUUGAUUUGAUUUAUUAUUAUUUUUUUAAAUAUAGCGCGUGUACAACACACGUCUUUGAUUUUAACUUAAAGAGCUUGACUCCAUGGAACGAGUCGGCACUCGAGUCAACAACGCCUGCAUCGGCUGACUCAUGGCAUCAGCAGAUUCAAGUCAGGCUAUCAAGUCAACCGAUGUGGGUGCUCUUAGAUGGCACUCGGGCAAGAGGGUUGACCCGAGGCUUCUCGGCAUGCUAGAGAUGUCCGGGGAGAUCUAUGUUUAACGGCAAGAGUUCUUCGACAAGAUCUUCCACGAAGAUCAAGAGGAAGUGUUCAAGAAGAUUGGGCACGCGUCGAAGACGAAGAAGAAGCAUAUGAGCAAGAGUGGAACCAUUAGAAGAGAUGGAUCAAAUGAGUUUAGAGCUGAGAGGUUUAAGAAUUAGAACACCAAAUGUGAUUGUUGCUGAAGGUGAUGAACAAGGAGAUCAGGCUGCAAAUGGUUCAAAAUAAUUGUAUGGCAUUCUUUUUCAAUUAUCCUUUGUAGCCUAUAAGUUUGUUGUUGUAAUUGGAAACAUGUAAAUUAGUAGAAAGUGCAUAUAGUAUAACUUUUUUUUUUUUUAAAUUGAUUUCUUUUGUUACUAUCGUCAUUGCAAUUAAGGGAAUCUUAUAAAUUAAUUAAUUAAUGAAGCAGAAGUGCAUAUAAAUAUAUAUUUUUUCCAAUUGAAUUUCUAUUGUUGCUAUUAUAAAAGCAUGCAUUCUUAUAAAUUUUGACACCUUACCUUAUGUGACUUUUCUUAUUGAAUAAAUAGAAAUUUUAAAAGUAAUUAAAAUUCGAAACAUGUAGCCUCAACGCAACCAUUAAUAAUAUUGAAAAAUAAGCCAGUUUAGAGUUUAAUGUGAAUGUGAUGGUUUUGCUUCUUUUUUUUUUUUGGUGUAAUUUUCAAAAUGACUAGAAUUAUAAAGUUGAUAGUGAUCUAUAGUUUCUAUCCCAACAGCUCUCUCUAUCUCUCUUGCAACAACUUGUCACUUGAUUUAAUUUUGACGGUCAAUUAAGCUCUAAUUUCGUCACAGUCAAACUCAUGUGAAAAUUGCAACAAAAAUAUAAAUUCAUAUAGUUUUUGGUUUACUUAAAAGUUCAUGUGAAAAUUACAACUUUUUUCCAAAGUUCGUGUAUUUUUUGGUCAUACCCCUGGUUCUAUUCAAGUUUAAAUGAUCAUUCUAAAUUUAGAUUUAAAUUCAAAUAAACUAAUCAUUUGGAAAAAAAAAUACAUAUUCUAGAAAGUAUGAUUAUUUAUUUUGAUAGUACAUAUAAUGGCCUGGGUCAGGUUUCGUAAAUAUUUAGGCCCAGCUUGGCUCAGGAUAACAUGUAUAGUGGGCCUUGGCUGGGCCCAUGCUAGUAGAUUGCAAUGGGCAUUUCCGUGGGUUCAAUUAGGCUGAGUUUGGUGGGCUUCUUGUUGAUUUUGUAUAGUUUUUUACUUGGUGGGCUUGGAUCUUGUUAGCUAAUGAAUAGUACCGUUGAAUUAGUCUUUCAACAAGUCUACUAGCAUGACCCACUUUGCAAUUUCUUUGUUUCCACACUUCCUUUUAUUAAGUGUGGGUCUAGCGGGUUGAGUGGGUCGCAAAAACGGGUCAACAAAACGAGUGGGAAAGACCCACCCAAUCUCAUAUAAGAUAAUAAGAGACCGGUCCUAUGAAUUCAAUUCUCAUAAAAUUUAUCUUAAUUCAAUCAAAUACAUAUACUUUGAAGAAAUACUAACAAAGUAAAACUCAUCACACGAGUAUUAUUGAUCUUUUUACAGGUAAAAAAUGUAUUAAUUCUAGUAAAUCUAUGCACAUAAUGCCAAAAUCAUGACAAGAAUACCAGGCACUGGUAUCAACAAUACGAUGUCAAAGCAGUCGUAGCGACUUCACUACGGCAGAUCUUGUGAUUUGCUUUCAUGCCUCAACUUGCAAUAAGCCAAAAGUGCAAAAUGGGAAUUUAAAGGAACUGUAAUUCGAGCCAUAACAGUAUGAUGUCGAAGCAGUCGUGAGGACUUCCUAACUACGAUGUUGCCUGAAAAAAUUGAGCAUCUUACUUUCCUGAUGAAGACUGCAACCAUGAGAUCUAGCUCUGGAAUCGGGCGAUGAAUCUUGGAACUUUCAUGCCAAACCCGUGCUUCGCCCUAUCCACACUGUUAAAAAAUCAAUCACGUUGAAUUUAUCAAUCAAUGGAGAGGAACAUAUAUAUAUGCUAUUUGGAAAUGAAAUGGAAUAGAGGAGAAUCACUGAAGCUGAUAUGCAACAUCAAUACAUUUUAAUUGGAGCAAACAUAUGCGAAAAAUGAGCACUUGAUACAAAAUGAGCACUUGAGACUCUUCUAAGAGGGUGUUUGGCUAAGCUUAUUUUAAAGAGCUUAGCUUAUAAGAUGUUUGAAGAGCUUAUAAGAUAUAAUUUUUAAGAGCUUAUAAGUUGUCAAAUUGUUUGGAUAAUUGAGCUUAUAAGCUAGAAAGAGAAUUUUUUGUUAGAGAGAGAAAAUAUUUUUUUAGAAAGGGAAAAUCGAAGAAAAAUGAACUUGAAUGAUAUAUAAUGAAAAUAAUAAAUUAUAGUUGAAAAAUAUUUGUAAAAUGAUCAUUGCAUAUGAGAUUAUAAAAGAAUAAGUUGGGGUAGAUGAACUUAUUUUUGGGAGUCUUAUAAGCUCUUGGAGCUUAUUUUUGGAGCUUAUAAGUUGUUUGAGAGCUUAUUUUGCCAAACACUUUGGAAGAUCUUAUAAGCUCCUAAACAGCUUAUAAGCUUAUAAACACCCUCUAAGUCCUAACUAUGCUUGACGGCUCGACCAAUCAAUCCUUGGGCUAAAUUCUAGCAUUAGAAUUUUGAAUUGGUCUCCACCUUAAUUAAGAGUGUUAAUGGGGUUAGUUGCUAAUCAAACAAAACCAUCUUUCACGAUUUGUAAUUUCCACAUACACGUAUACACGAUAGCGAUUUUCCUUUCUUUUCUUCUAUUUUGCUAUUCAGAUAUUGAUUAGUGAAAUUUUCUCGUUGAUAAGAAUUUUCCGAAACCAUUUUAUACUCAAUCCUAAAUUUAUUAUCUUUGGCUUUUUAAUGCCAGCCACUCAAUGACAAAAGACUAUAUGUUUGCAAAAAUCUUUGCAUUAAUUCUUUCUCAUCAAAGAUCAACAAAUUGCCUACAAGUCUACAUGGUUAAUUUAUUAGAGAUGGCCUACCUAUGGACCUAGACUUUUAUCAACUAUUAAUUCAACAACACUACAUUAAAUAACGUAGGAGACUAAAAAUCAAUGUACAAUAACGAUUAUAUAAAUUAAUAAAAAAGAGUAUAUAUUUUGCAAAAAUUUCGUUGCAUUAAUUUCUUUCUCAUCAAAGAUCAACAAAUUGCCUACAAGUCUACAUGGUUAAUUUAUUAGAGAUGGAACUUUUUAGUCCACGAUUAGUUCUUAAGUACAAAAAUGAGACACCAAUUAUGAACUAAAAUAUUACUCACGAUUUGUCCCUAAAAAUUAUAUGAACCAAAAGAUAUGACACGAGUUUUAAGAAAAAUGGUAGUUUUGUUUAAGUUGCAACCAUUUAGUUUUAAGUACAAAAUGUAGUACACCAAUUAUGAACUAAAUUAUGAUACAUAUAUUAAUAUUGUACACGAAUUAAUGAUUAUUAGUCUUCCAUGUCAACCAUUUAGUCUUUCCUUACUCUAAAAAAAAUAGUCUUCCUCUCACCACAUCCACAAGCAUAUCAAUGGCAAUUUCUUCUAUUCCCACUUUUUUGUGUCUUUCUUUAUAUUUAUGUAUUACUAGCUACAAAAAUUCGUUACGAGAUUGGCCUACUUUUGGAAUACUAGCAGAGAUAACGUGCUAUUAAUUAAUAGAUACUUUAUAAGUGCAAUAGUGUUUCUAGUGGCUUAUUUAAAGCCACUUGCACAAGUUUGUAGAAAACACAAAUCACAAUACUAUCAAUUAAUAGCCUCUUCAUCACAAUGCUUCCAAAGUUGUUCUUCGUCAUUUCUACACUAAUUUCCUCCUUCAUUUUCACUACUCAUUCUUAUAAUACCCAAUGCCUUCACCAUCAGAAAAUCUUGUUGCUUCAACUCAAGGAUGAUUGAUUCAAUUCCUCUCUUUCAACAAAAUUGGUGCGAUGGAAUGAAAGGGAUGAGUGCUGCAAGUGGCACGGUGUGGAAUGUGCUGUUGCUGGCUACGUCGUCAGUUUGCAGCUCGAUAAUGAGUCAAUUUCUGGUGGAAUCGCGGAUUCAUCGAGUCUCUUCAAACUUGUGCAUCUGCAGAAGCUAAAUCUAGCCGACAAUUAUUUCACUAUGACACUCCCAUCCCGAAAGGUAUUCACAAUCUCACCUAUUUGACACACUUGAAUUUAUCCUAUGCUGGAUUUGGUGGGCAGGUUCCCGCUGAAAUUUCUUCCUUGAGGAGGUUGGUUAGUCUCGAUAUCUCCUAUAAUGAUAUAUCUGUGAAACUGGAGAUGCUUGUCCAAAAUCUAACAGGGCUUCGAGAGCUCUAUCUUGAUCGUGUCAUGUUACUUCUCCUCAUGAGAGGAGAAAAUGGAGCCACAUUAUAUCAUCAUAUUUACCCAACCUCACCGCCUUGAGCUUGGUUGAAUGUGGUUUAUCUGGCCCUUUAGCUGAGUCCUUUUGGCAACUCCAUUCCCUUUCCAUCCUUCGACUGGGUUAUAACAAUCUUUCAACAAAAGUUCUGGACUCGUUCGCCAAUUUUCCAAUUUUGACCACUUUGUCUCUUUAUAGCUGCAGUUUGAAGGGUUCGAUUCCAUCCACCUUUGCUAACCUAACCAACCUGAUUCAUCUUGAUUUGUCAGAUAACUUCUUCACAGGCUCACUUUCUUCUAUGCUGUUUGAAGGUCUUUCCAAUCUUGUUUAUUUAGAUUUGUCAUAUAAUUCAUUCUCUGGCCACAUUCCCCACUCUCUCUUUGCUCUCCCUUCAUUGUUGGAACUUGAUCUUAGGUACAAUCAAUUUAGUGGCACUUUCCAACUGGACAACUUUCGAAAUCUUGCCAAUCUAACCCGACUUGAUCUAUCUCACAAUAGAUUGUCAGUAGAUGUUGGCAACCUCAAUUCAACUUCAUAUGGAAGUCUCCAACUAAAAGAGUUAAGACUAGCUUCAUGUAAUUUGUCCCAUUUUCCUAAUUUCAUCAAACAUUUGGAUAUGGAAAUAGUGGACCUCUCAAACAAUCGGAUUGGUGGGGAGAUACCUAGUUGGAUUUGGGGAACACAACUUCAGUCUUUGUUCCUCUCUUUUAAUCUUCUAACAGAUCUGCAAAAGCCUUACCAUAUCCCUACUUCUCUUGAAGAGCUAUACUUGGACUCUAACCAGCUCAAGGGUGAGUUGCACCUGCCCAUUCCAUCUGCGUCUCAACUCUGGUACUUGUCUCUUGCUAAUAACAGUUUAAGUGGAUCGAUUUCAACCUCCCUUUGCAGUGCCACGAGCCUCCUUGUUCUUGAUUUGUCUGGCAAUAGAUUAAGUGGCAGCAUACCCCCUUGCUUACUUGAAAACAUUUCAGAGUUAGAUCUAAGCCAAAACAACAUCAGCGGUAGCAUUCCAGAUAAUUUUCCUAUGUAUUGUAGCCUGAAAUAUUUGGAUCUUAACAAUAAUGCUUUAGAAGGGAAAAUCCCAAAGUCCCUUGAAAGAUGCGAAGGGUUGGAGUUCAUGAAUGUUGGGAACAACAACAUCACUGACAGUUUCCCGUGCUUACUAUCAUCCACGUGGUUGCGAGUUCUUGUUUUGCACUCUAACAGAUUCUAUGGAGAAGUAAGAUGUCACAACAUGAGCUGGCCACAUCUCCAAAUUCUAGAUAUAUCUUCCAAUCAGUUCAGUGGAAAUCUGGAAUCGAUAAACUUUUCUAGUUGGAAGACACUGAUGCUACAAUUGAGGUACGGCAAUACAGAUUUCCGGUUUUGGUUUUCAUUCAGCAUCACAUUAAUCAUGAAAGGGACAAAUUCAGAGUAUCACACGUUUUGGUUAGAGUUUGGUAUCAUUGAUUUGUCUUGCAAUAAUUUUGGAGGAGAGAUACCAAAUGCAAUUGGUGAUCUUACCUCACUUCAUCAGCUCAACUUCUCCCACAAUGCCCUCAAUGGAAGCAUCCCAAACUCAUUUGGUCAGUUGAGGAAUCUCGAAUCACUCGACCUCUCUGUAAAUCGACUCAUCGGGCCAAUACCAGUGGAGCUUGCAGGGCUCACAUUUCUUUCAUUCUUGAAUCUGUCCUACAAUAAGCUGGAUGGAGAGAUCCCAAAUGGGCGUCAGUUACAAACAUUUUCAGCUGAUUCCUUCAAAGGAAAUGCGGGGUUGUGUGGUUUCAAUCUCAACAUAAGCUGCAGUGAUAGUGAUGACAGUGAUCAUUUGUGGCCACAAGAAGAUGAAAAUGAAGAAGAGAAGAGUGAGAUCGAGUGGGAAUACGUAUCUGCUGCAGUUGGAUAUGUUGUGGGAUUAGGAAGCAUUGUCUGGUUACUUCUAUUCUGGCGAAGCUUCAGAGAAAGAUAUUUCGAGAAAAUAGAAGAGGUUGUUGACAAGAUGUUCUACGAGAGAGCGAGGAAAAGAAGGCAUGAAAGAAGAAGAAAAAUAGUAGAGAUGAGAAAAGAGAUUAGGAGACAGCAGCGAGGUUGAUGAUAUGCUAUUUCAUACUUAAAUAAACAAGGGUGUUUAGUGUUUGAUGUGAGUGUGAAUGUUUUGUUUUGCUGUUUUUUGUUUUUUUGUUUUUGUUUUUGGGCAUGUAAAAGAGAUUAUGUGUGUUGGUAAAUCAGAUUUGUGUUGGUUAAGAUAUCCUAGGGUUUCCCUUUACAUAUUCAGUCAUUUGUUGUCUUAUAUUGUUAUUAGAGUAUCUUUCAUUUUUCAGCAGCAAUAAAAUUGUAUCAGUUCUCUCUUGUUUCUCUGCUUCCUAUAUAUUGUUACACGGUAUCCGAGCCUGAUGGCUUUUCAAAUGUUUGAUUUUGUUACUCUGAGAACAUGAAUGAUGGAAGUAGUGCAUCGUAGACAAGGUCGUUGGUGACAGUUGUAGUAUAUAUCAAAAUAAUUAUUUUCAUAUUAUAAAGAUUAAAAAUAAUCAAGAUAAAUAAAAAACAUCUUAAAAUAUUGUCUUGUCCUUAAUUGGCGAAUUCAAGAUUAAAUUCACGACAAAAUCUAUUAUUAGAAUUGCCUCUUAAAUAGGGCAAUUCACGACCGGGAAUAAGUUUCAUUGUCAAUUGCCUUGUUUAAAGAGCAAUUAACAAUUAAACAUAUUCUUACUUGUGAACCCAAACAUCAAAGGUUGGGUAUAAAAUUGCAAAUAAUUCAAAAUCUAACAGGGCUUCGGGAGCUCUAUCUUGAUGAUGUGAAUGUUAAUUCCUCUCAUGAGAGGAGAAAAUGGAGCCACAUUAUAUCAUCAUAUUUGCCCAACCUCACCGCGUUGAGCUUGUCUGGGCCUUUAGCUAAGUCCAUUUGGCAAAUGAGGAGAGAGAUAGAGAGAGUAGUGAAAAAGUAAGAGAAAGAUAAAGUAAAUGAGAAAAGAGAUAGAGAGAGUGAAUAAAGUGAAUUAUUUUAUUUUUUUACGUUGUGACAUUAUAAAUGAAACGCCUAAAAAGGAAAUUUGAGACAAUAUCACUGGGACGAAGGAAGUAGGAAAGUUUUUAAUACAUCUUGAUUAUAAAAUAUUUAUAAUUUCUACUUAAAAUUCAAUUUAAUAAGUUGAACUAAACAAAAUUCAUUUAAUAAAAUAUAGUGAAACUUGGUUAUAAAAAAAUUGAUUUGCUUGUUAUAUUCACUUAUAUAUACUUAACUUAAGGAUAAUCGUGUUUUUUAAAACUAGAUAAUCUAUGAAAAUAUUGUUCAUUAUUAUUAUUAUUAUACUUGUCUUUUAAUAGAAAAUGUAUGAAAUGCCCAAAAAAAAAUUGUUUGUUAUUUAGAUUAUGCUUGUCUUUUAAUAAAAAAAAUGCCUAAAAUAUACGAAAUGUUCAAAAAAAAUAUUGUAAUGUAUUGAAACUAAUUUGUAAUAUAUUGAAACUAUAUAAUCUAUGAAAAUGUUGUUUGUUAUUAUUAUUAUUAUGCUCCUAUUUUAAUAAAAAAAAAUGCCUUAAAUAUACGGAAGCCCAAAAAAAAUUUCUCGGGGGCUACCGCCCCCGAACCCCGUAGUAAAUUCAGCCCCCUAAACUUAAUUCCUGGCUCCGUCCCUGAUUAGAGAUGAACUUUUUAGUUAAGUACAAAAUGAGACACCAAUUAUGAACUAAAUUAUUAAAAUAACUGGAUACAAAUAUUAAUAUUAUAAAGAGUAAGCAAGAAUAGCAGAAAAUCCUAAGCAAAUCUUGAGAUUUCCCACUCUCUUGAUUUGUCUUUGUUAGGUUGUAUUUCAAUUAAAAUGCUCGCUAUUUUAUGUUAUAAGUAAUUUUAGUGUGCAUGUUAAAUUUAUGCCUCGAUGACUUGGCUAUGAAAAGACCUAAGCCAGCGUCACCAUCAGAGACGCUGAUAGUCCUGCAUCAAUGAUUUCCUCGAUUAAAAUACUCCCUCCGUCCACGAAAUGAGUACCCAUUUGUGGACGGCACGGGUUUUAAGAAAUGUAUGGAGUGUACGUAGUGUGAAUAGUUUAAGAGUCCCACUUUUUUAGUGUAUUAAUUAAAGAGAUGUGUGGGGUACACUUGCCAAAAAGGGCAAUGGGUACUCAUUUCGUGGACGGAGGGGGUAAUAAAAUUUGAAAUUUAAUCUGGCUAUGAAAAGAAUCAAAAAGAGUUUUUACCGGGAAUUGUGUUUGCGUAUGGUUGGUUGGGGGCUAUACAAAAGUAGGGAUUUAAUUCUGGGCUAUGUUUAUGGGGUAAAAUUGUAAAUUUAUAAUUAAUUUUUUUAUUAUUUUAUAUGGGGGCUAUAGUGAGUAAAUUGGGGUUGUGAAUAGAAUUACCUGAAAUAAAAAGGCCUUCAAAAUUCUAACGUGAGUAAUCCAUAUUUUAUAAAGAAGGUUUCAAUUUUAAUGAGAUAAUAACACUAACUUGAUUAAGUCCAUAAAUUCGAUAAUAAGCCGAGAACAUGUGGGUGCAUCACUUGUUAAUUAGUAUUCUAUUUUUUCAAGCCCGAACUUUUUUUUAUCAUAAUUUGUAAAUGCUUAAGUUACUAUCCUAAAAAAUCCUCCGACUCUCAAAUUAAGGAUCAACAAAUUGCCAUUUGUAUAAACUAGUACAAGUCUACAUGGUUUGUGGUAAGCUUCUUUUUAUUAGACAUGGAACUUUUUAGUCCAAGAUUAGUUCUUAAGUACUAUAAAAUAAGACACCAACUAUGAACUAAAUGAUUACGGUAUAUUUUUUUAAUAAAAUAACUGGAUACAUAUAUUACUAUAUACUAUUAUACACGAAUUGCUUUAAUCUUCCAAGUCAACCAUUUAGUCUUUCCUUCUCUAAAAAAAAAGUAGUCUUCCUCUCAACCACAUCCACAUCCACAAGUAGUCUUUCUCUAUAUGAAAUAGUCGAAGAAAUAUUAAAAUUUAAUGAGCCAUCUUCUUCUUAAAAGACCUUUUAUUAUUCCAUACUUAUAUAUUGGAUUUGGAGACCGGAUCAUUACCGAGUCAAUGUGGGAUAGAAAGAAGGGUUAUUAGCCUGUAAAUACACGAAUUUUUUAUAUUUUCUGAAAUUUAACAUGACUUUUAUUUUUAGCCAACAAAUACGCGAACUUAGCAUUUUUUCUGAUUUUUGACAUCGACAAGAAUAAAUUUUAAUUUACUAUUAACGUGAAGGCCAGUAUACCAUGCCAUUCACUCUCUAAUCAAAAUAAUGAAUCAAAUUACUCUAUUUAAGUACAUAUCUCGUAGUCACGUCAUGUAUUCCGGCCUCCACCUCAACAAUAAAUAGAUUUUUUCAUGUCGAUGUCAAAAAUAAAAAAAAUGCCAAGUUCGUGUAUUUAUGGGCUAAAAAUAAACAACGGCGGAGACCGAUAGACGUGAGAAUAGGGCUAAAGGCUCCAACUGCCGACACACAUAUCUCAAGAAUGAAAAGGCAAUCAAACUUGGUUUAUUUUUUCCAAAGUGACAAAGUUUGGUACCAAGAAAAUGUUUUAUCGCAUUGGCCUACUUGAUUUAUAUUCCACAAUGAGUGUGGAAAAAGUUCAACCCUUGCAGCACGUCAACUAAACAUCUAAUCUCAUUUCAAAUUUAUUAUCAAAUUAACACAACACACUUUUGCAAACAACACACUUUUGGCGGUAACUAGCGAGCUCGGACAACUCACAUUCCUUACAUUCUUGAAUCUGUCUGGUCGGAACGAUCCCAAAUGGCCGUCAAUUCCUAAGAUUUUCCCUUAUUUACUUAGAUGGAUUGGAACUUUCGAAUAUUUCAAGGCUGGCUCAUGAUAAUUUCUGUUAUUUGAGUUAAUUUUGUGUGAUUUAUAUUCCACUGAAAAAUCAUAAUAUAGAGAAUAAAAAUAUUAUUAUUUUUCAAAUGUUUUGAAAUUAAUAAAUAUCUAUAUUUUUAAAUUCAAAAAAUAGGCCUACAUAAUUUGGAAUUUGAAGAAAAUGAUAGAACUGACAUGUGGCUUUAACGUGGGCUACCAAAGUUGACUGAGGUCUUCAAAGUUCAAAGUCCUAUCUUAAGUCAACCAUUCAGUCUUCUUCUCGAUAUAUAUUACUCCCUCCGUCCCGCGAGUCUUGACACGUUUUCCUAUUUGAGCCGUCCCACGAAUCUUGACACGUUUCUUUUUGGGCAAUAACGACUUUGGUGGACGUCGCCAACCACCAAAUAAUUCCUGCGGAAUUACCAAAAUAAAUUAGUAUAUUGGUAAGCAGGGUCGAUCCCACAGAGAGCAGUUAAAAUUCAUUCAAAUCCCUAAUCUAUAAAAACGGUGAUGCCACCACGCCUUAAAUUUAAGAGGAAUUAAUUAAACUAAAAGCAGAAUUAAAUCAAAUAAAAUAGCUUGAAGUAAAUCAAAUAAAAAGGGUAAUUCGGCUCAAAUAAAUCCACUCUAAUUCAACUCUGAUCCUCGACGCAAUAAUUAAUCAAUCCCUAUCAACCAACCAGUUAUAGGAUACCGUGAAACGCAACGGACGUACCCAAUACUACUUACUGUGUCGAUAAACAGCUGGAGAGCCAGACCUGCUUAUUUCCCUUAUUAAAAUAUAACCUAGCUGAAGACGCCAGACCUAGAUUUAAUAUUCUAAUAGCAUUAAGAUGAAGGAACCCAAUUUAUAUCAAUUAUCCUAGAGACGCUAGUAAUAAUUAAUAUACCAAUUAAUUCCCCCUACGAACACGGUAGUUGUAUCACUAAUUAGUCCAAUUCCAACAAUUACGGAUUGGCAGGAACUAAUUGACUGUAAUUCAAUUAAACUUAAGUUGAUCAGGCUUAAAUAAAAUCAGAAUUAUCUUGGAACCUAGGAAUUAAUCGGAAUCAAUAGGAAUCAAUUUUAAACCAAUUAGGUCUCACAGAUCAUUAAAUUAGAGUUUCAUUAUUCUCGCCGAAUUAAAAGAUUUAGCUACUCAUGCUUGAAAUAAAAACAAUCAAAUAAUUAAAAUUAAACAUACGGAAAUAAUCGAAAUAAGCUGAGAAAUAAAUUUGCAAGAAAUAAAUCAAACUUGAAUUAACCCAAUACUCGACUGCUUCCUUUGUUUCCAAUCCAGCCGCUAUCAAUAGUUGAGUGAACAAGAAUUAAAACUAAAGCAACCUUGGAAUCAAUUCCAAAACACGUAAAGCACAAUUUGCAUGAAAGAAAAGAUUGCAUGAAAAAUUAAAGGUCAACUAUGCUUAAAAAAAUCAAAAGUUGCGGCUACUGCAAAGUGAAUGUGUAUAAACUAAUCAAAAGUAAAACCUAAUAAUCCUUAGUCCACACAUGCGGCUAGGUCUAAUGCAAAUAAAAUAAGAGUCCUCCUCUCAUAAGAGUCCUAAUCUCAUAAAAAUACUAUAUGCGGCACUUAUGGAAACAAAAGUAGGGAAUUAAAAUUCCCUUAAGCUGCCGCCUACCAUAACUACACGGGCUUCGGCCCUUAACAAAAAGAAUCAAACCCAAGAAUAACUAAUUAAAAAAAAUGAGUUUUGGACUUAAUUAAAAUUGGAAUAAUUAUCUUCAAGCCCAAUCUCUAAAAAUCUUCCAUCUUCACGUCGAAUCCCAUCGCAAGCUUGUCUUUCUCCACUUUCUUCCAAUUAGUAGCUCCAUCUCCAAUUCUUCUCAUUCCUGCGCCAAAACAUAGCAAAACAUGUAAUAUCACAUGAAACCACGGCAAAACGUACACUAAACUAGGUAGCUAAAAUACACACAUCAGACUUUUUUUACUUAGCAAACUCUUGCAAAUAACUAAUUAAUUUUUAGUAAUUAUUAAAUUCAAUUUUUGAGUGAUGCUAUGAGAUAAAACUACCUAUGGUCCAUUCUAAUACCAAGCUUAUUGCAUUAAUCAACAAAUCAACUCAUCCACCUUCUAGAACAAAUGAAAGUUGCUAAAAAGCUGGCACUAAGUUAAUUAAUAGAUACUUUAUAAGUGCAAUAGUCUUUCUAGUGGCUUAUUUAAAGCCACUUGCACAAGUUUGUAGAAAACACAAAUUAAAAUCACAAUACUAUCAAUUAAUAGCCUCUUCAUCACAAUGCUUCCAAAGUUGUUCUUCGUCAUUUCUACACUAAUUUCCUCCUUCAUUUUCACUACUCAUUCUUAUAAUACCCAAUGUCUUCACCAUCAGAAAAUCUUGUUGCUUCAACUCAAGGAUGAGUUGAGUUUCAAUUCUUCUCUUUCAACAAAAUUGGUGCGAUGGAAUGAAAGGGAUGAGUGCUGCAAGUGGCACGGUGUGGAAUGUGAUGUUGCUGGCUACGUCGUCAGUUUGCAGCUCGAUAAUGAGUCCAUUUCUGGUGGAAUCGCGGAUUCAUCGAGUCUCUUCAGACUUGUGCAUCUGCAGAAGCUAAAUCUAGCCUACAAUUAUUUCAACAACACUCCCAUCCCGAAAGGUAUUCACAAUCUCACCUAUUUGACACACUUGAAUUUAUCCGAUGCUGGAUUUGGUGGGCAGGUUCCCGCUGAAAUUUCUUCCUUGAGGAGGUUGGUUAGUCUCGAUAUCUCCUCUGAUUAUAUAUUUGUGAAACUGGAGAUGCUUGUCCGAAAUCUAACAGGGCUUCGGGAGCUUUAUCUUGAUGAUGUGAAUGUUAAUUCCUCUCAUGAGAGGAGAAAAUGGAGCCACAUUAUAUCAUCAUAUUUACCCAACCUCACCGCGUUGAGCUUGAGUGAUUGUGGUUUAUCUGGCCCUUUAGCUAAGUCCUUUUGGCAACUCCAUUCCCUUUCCAUCCUUCGACUAGAUUAUAACAAUCUUGGACCAGAACUUCCAGACUUGUUCGCCAAUUUUCCAACUUUGACCACUUUGUCUCUUUCUAACUGCAGUUUGAAGGGUUCGAUUCCAUCCACCUUUGCUAACCUAACCAACCUGAUUCGUCUCGAUUUGUCAGACAAUUCAUUCUCUGGUAAUAUUCCCCACUCUCUCUUUGCUCUCCCUUCAUUGUUGGAACUUGAUCUUAGCUACAAUCAGUUUAAUGGCACUUUUCAACUGGACAAGUUUCUAAGUCUUGCCAAUCUAACCCUACUUGAUCUAUCUCACAAUAGAUUGUCAGUAGAUGUUGGCAACCUCAAUUCAACUUCAUAUGGAAAUCUCCAACUAAAAGGGUUAGGACUAGCUUCUUGUAACUUGUCCCAUUUUCCUAAUUUCAUCAAAUAUUUGGAUAUGGAAUACUUGGACCUCUCAUACAAUCGGAUUGGUGGGGAGAUACCUAGUUGGAUUUGGGGAACACAACUUCGGGAUUUGGACCUCUCUUAUAAUCUUCUAACAGAUCUGCAAAAGCCUUACCAUAUCCCUGCUUCUCUUCGAGACAUAUUCUUGCAGUCUAACCAGCUCAAGGGUGAGUUGCACCUGCCCAUUCCAUCUGCGUCUCAACUCUCGUACUUGUUUCUUGCUAAUAACAGUUUAAGUGGAUCGAUUCCAACCUCCCUUUGCAGUGCCACGAGCCUCUAUGUUCUUGAUUUGUCUGGCAAUAGAUUAAGUGGCAGCAUACCCCCUUGCUUACUUGAAAACAUUUCAGAGUUAGAUCUAAGCCAAAACAACAUCAGCGGUAGCAUUCCAGAUAAUUUUCCAAUGGAUCGUUGUUGGCUAGAAUAUUUGGAUCUUAACAAUAAUACUUUAGAAGGGAAAAUCCCAAAGUCCCUUGAAAGAUGCGAGCAGUUGCGGUUCAUGAAUGUUGGGAACAACAACAUCACUGACAGUUUCCCGUGCAUGCUAUCAUCCACGUGGUUGCGAGUUCUUGUUUUGCACUCGAACAGAUUCCAUGGGGAAGUAAGAUGUCAAAACAUGAGCUGGCCAUAUCUCCAAAUUCUAGAUAUAUCUUCCAAUCAGUUCAGUGGAAAUCUGGAAUCGAUAAACUUUUCUAGUUGGAAGACAAUGAUGCUACAGAGUGAUGUACAAUUGAGGUACGGCAAUUCAAAUUUCUAUAACUCACAAUUGUGGAUUUCAUUAAGCAUCACAUUAAUCAUGAAAGGGACAAAUUCAGAGUAUCACACGAUUUGGCCAGAGUUUGGUAUCAUAGAUUUCUCUUGCAAUAAUUUCGGAGGAGAGAUACCAAAUGCAAUUGGUGAUCUUACCUCACUUCAUCAGCUCAACUUCUCCCACAAUGCCCUCAAUGGAAGCAUCCCAAACUCAUUUGGUCAGUUGAGGAAUCUCGAAUCACUCGACCUCUCUGUAAAUCGACUCAUCGGGCCAAUACCAGUGGAGCUUGCAGGGCUCACAUUUCUUCAAGUCCUGAAUCUGUCCUACAAUAAGCUGGUUGGAGAGAUCCCAAAUGGCCGUCAGUUUCAAACAUUUUCAGCUGAUUCCUUCAAAGGAAAUGCGGGGUUGUGUGGUUUCAAUCUCAACAUAAGCUGCAGUGAUAGUGAUGACAGUGAUCAUUUGUCGCCAGAAGAAGAUGAAAACGGGGAAGAGAAGAGUGAGAUCGAGUGGGAGUAUGUAUCUUCUGCGCUUGGUUAUGUUGUGGGAUUAGGAAGCAUUGCAUGGACGCUUUUAUGCCGCAGAAGCUUCAGAGAAAGAUAUUUCGAGAAAAUAGAAG
RNAcentral lists this long non-coding RNA (30456 nucleotides) under Salvia miltiorrhiza (redroot sage). RNAcentral describes it as "long non-coding RNA (SMIL_LNC005284)". The record is from RNAcentral. Lineage: Eukaryota; Viridiplantae; Streptophyta; Magnoliopsida; Lamiales; Lamiaceae.